This is a non-coding RNA of Ceratotherium simum simum (southern white rhinoceros), 110 nucleotides long. The record is from RefSeq and is a predicted model, not a curated record. Lineage: Eukaryota; Metazoa; Chordata; Mammalia; Perissodactyla; Rhinocerotidae.
UCCAGAUUUUGAUCAUUGUUCUGCGGUUAUGUAAGAGAAUGUACUUGUUCUUAGGAAAUACACGGUGAAUUAUUUAGGGGUAAAGGAACACAAUAUGGGGAACUUGCUCU